This 315-nucleotide ribosomal RNA is filed under the name uncultured eukaryote. RNAcentral describes it as "partial 18S ribosomal RNA". It matches the Rfam family "Eukaryotic small subunit ribosomal RNA", at positions 1470 to 1796 of the family's 1831-position model. The record is from RNAcentral.
UCCUUAGACGUUCUGGGCCGCACGCGCGCUACACUGACCAGUGCAACAAGCAUCCGUCCUUGGCCGACAGGCCCGGGCAAUCUUUGAACGCUGGUCGUGAUGGGGAUAGACUUUUGCAAUUUUUGGUCUUCAACGAGGAAUUCCUAGUAAACGCAAGUCAUCAACUUGCAUUGAUUACGUCCCUGCCCUUUGUACACACCGCCCGUCGCACCUACCGAUUGAAUGGUCCGGUGAAGCCUCCGGAUUGGCGCGCACCUCGGUGCCGCCGAGAAGUUGGCUAAACCUUACCAUUUAGAGGAAGGUGAAGUCGUAACA